This 747-nucleotide long non-coding RNA is filed under the name Equus asinus (donkey). Its description in RNAcentral is "lncRNA (ENSEASG00005038664.1, ENSEASG00020026498.1)". The record is from RNAcentral. Lineage: Eukaryota; Metazoa; Chordata; Mammalia; Perissodactyla; Equidae.
GGUCUUGUCUCUGCUGGUGGGUUGACAUCUCGGUCCUAGGGUCCAGUGGCCUGGGUCUCGGAGAGGCAGACCAGUGUUUCCUGCGCCCCCUGCGAUGGCACCUGCGUGAGAGGGCGGAGUCAGGGACUGUGCUCUGCGGGGCCCCUCUCCUCGGCAGGUCCUGAAAAUCUGGGCCCUAGAAGAGCGAGUAUAUACACACCCCCACCACCACUUCCACCACCCACCCUAAACAUCCCCGAAGAAAGGUAACCACAGAAACAGCCAUAAAUGUGGAGCUGGCGUUAGUGUUAGGCUGAGACAAACUGUCUUCCGAGCGUCUCUAGGGAGAACUCAAAUCCUCCUCCACAAAAACACGGUGAAUGGGAAAAGCAAACCCAGAGGGAGUCAGUCUCCUAGUGGCCCUGCUGCCAGGAUUAAAUGCGAGACCAGCAGCCAGGAUCAUUGCAGCGGCUUCCUGCAGCAUAUCCACGCAGAGGGUAGGGUUACAGCUGAGGAGACCUCUGUCAGAGGCCCAGCCCAGGCCCAUCAGCUGGUGACUGCAGAGACUGGACCACUCCAGGCAGGUUCUUUUCUGCUGGGGUCACACAUCCGACCCCACUUCUCACUCGGGUUGCAAUCAGUUCAAUGCAAAUUGGAGGCCAUGGGGAGGAGUUCAGCCAGGGGUUCAGGAACCCCGGCCUGUUCCAUCUCAAGAUUCUACCACCGUCCUUCAGCACUUCGGAGGCCUCCACUGGCCUCUCCACUUCU